Molecule: long non-coding RNA, 519 nt
Organism: Lagopus leucura (white-tailed ptarmigan)
Lineage: Eukaryota; Metazoa; Chordata; Aves; Galliformes; Phasianidae
Exons: 4
Source: RefSeq, a predicted model, not a curated record
CUCUGCUGGAGUUUUGUGAGUGAGCCCAGGAUAGGGUCUCUACAGAUUCACCAGUUCUGGAGACAGUUCCUCAAAUGAAGUACAGUUAGGAAAACAAGAUGCUUCAUAUAAGCCAAGCACAUGAGUAGAAGCAGCUUACUAGCUCCAAGGACCUGCUGCAAUGCUUGCAUCAGAAGUUGGAUUUUUCUUCACUCUCCCAAGCAAAGUUCCUGGCAGCAAUGCCAUAUAAGCAAAUCAGCUAUGGGGACAAACAAUCAACAGCAGUUCAGUCAUGAAAGUCAAGUCAAAGAAGCUUGUGUUCCCAAAUCAACACUGUUCUUAGAGGCACCAGAACAGCACCUGAUCUAGCUGUGCCUUCAACCAUCCCCUUUGUCCUUGCCCCACGGUCUCCUGUCCCAGCUGCAGACUUCAUGAAGCUGUGAUAUCUCUGAACACACAGCUACACUCCUUAAUCUCCAAACCAAACACCACCUAAGUACCUGGUUAAAAGGGCAGCAGCCAAGGUCUGGGCUGGAAGAG